CCUUCUUCGCCUGCAAUAUCUUUGCUACGUGAGUUAGUGUUAGUUUUUAUUUUUUCGUCUCGUUAGCCUUUAUUUUUGCAGCAUGAUGCUAGUGCGCAGUGGGCCGUGCUCUCCGAUUUUGUGUUCGGGUGGUAUUUAAUUCCGUCUUCUUUCUUGGGAGAUGUCCUUCACGCAGUCGGUAUUGCCUUAUUAUGGUCGCUAUUGACAAUGCUGCUCUUUCGCCACUACUUAGUCGAUCUGAUGGAUUUCCAAUGAACGGUUAGCAUUGAAGAGGACGCCUUGACACACUUUUAGUAAUUCUGUGUCUCUCAAACUUACCUACGCGCCUUACUCUUCUUUACACCAUCCUCUUCAAACUUUCUCCUAUAGCACUUGUGAGGAAGCGCCCACCAUAUCUACCAAAGAAAACUUGAUAUUCAACAUAACUCAACCUUCCGAUCGCACAGCUCUUUAAUCCACGAGCUAGCUGGGCGAAAUGAUCGACAAACCAGAAAGAGGAUCAAGCGCAUGCAUGAUUGCACAAAGUCACAAGGAAACAUCAAAGUGUCAAAUGAGAGGAACACCCACCCGGAGAAAAGAAUAUGGUAUGUUAAGUAAUAAGAGAAUGGGGCAGAGCAAAACAAUGAGCUAUGUAAGAGGAACAAGUCCUUUUGGUGUCCACCGCAGCCAUGUGAGUGAGAUUUCAUUAAUUGAAGUGUUGGACCCAUUCCUCCAUCCCCUCCCUACCUUUCUUCGACCUUCUUUGUAACUUCCUCUCAUGAUGCAACUAAGCAUUGUUGAACCAGAUCAUUCAAUAUACCACUUCGAUCCAAUGUUCUUCUGUUCUACCCUCACUCGGAUCUAUCAAAUUACUUCUUGGAAUCACUCCAAACCGACCUCUAUACACUAUACAUUUUCACUUCUUCUAUUCGCUGACAUUAUCAUAUACUAAAUUAUAUUUUAUAUAAAUAGCACAUUAAUCUAUAGAUUGUUACAAACACAACACAAGUUAAUAUCAUAUUUAAACAAGAUUUAAGGAUGGACUAGUCCAAGACAAAUAUAAUGACUAGUCAAUCACCAUCGUGCAUACAAAAAUAACCCUAAAUAAUUGUUUGAAUGAGGUAUUUUAGUUCAAAUGUAUCGUUCUGAAUUAUUUGAGUAAAGAAAAAGUCUUAAAAAUUAUGAUAUUUAAAAUAACUCACGUUUGAAUUAUAUUUUAGUGAGAGAAGAUGUUUGAAAUACUGCAAUUAUUUACUAAUUUGAUAUUUAUAUUUACCAAAUACUAUAUUAAAUUAAUUUAUUAGUCAAAUAAUUCAUGCUCCUCAUAAACAUUACAUUCUCAAAUACAACAUCAUUUCAUUUCAAAAUAUCAUUUAUAUAAAAUAACUCAUUUUGAAUCCAAAAUGACCGA
Molecule: long non-coding RNA, 1390 nt
Filed under: Linum usitatissimum (flax)
Lineage: Eukaryota; Viridiplantae; Streptophyta; Magnoliopsida; Malpighiales; Linaceae
Description: long non-coding RNA (LUSI_LNC003304)
Source: RNAcentral